AACGCACGAGACCUGCGGACCUGCGGAGGGAUCAUUAUUGAAUAAACUUGGUUAGAUUGUCUGCUGGCUUCAAGGAGCAUGUGCACGUCUAAUCCAUUUUUAAUCAUCCCCUGUGCAUCUUGUGUAGACCUGUAUAACAACAUUCGAGCCGAUCGUGGCUCGGUUUAGAAAUUGCUGUAUUUCUUAUUCAGCUUUUUUCUGUGUUUUUUUAGGGUCUAUGUCUUAUAUAUUACCCCAUAA
Molecule: unclassified non-coding RNA, 240 nt
Filed under: soil metagenome
Description: partial contains 5.8S ribosomal RNA, internal transcribed spacer 2, and large subunit ribosomal RNA
Source: RNAcentral